GACGAACGCUGGCGGCGUGCUUAACACAUGCAAGUCGAGCGAGGCCCUCCUUCGGGGGGUGCCCUAGCGGCGAACGGGUGAGUAACACGUGGGCAACCUGCCCUCAGCUCUGGGAUAACUCCAAGAAAUUGGUGCUAAUACCGGAUGUGACCGCUGACCGCAUGGUCUGGUGGUGGAAAGAUUUAUCGGCUGAGGAUGGGCCCGCGGCCUAUCAGCUUGUUGGUGGGGUCACGGCCCACCAAGGCGACGACGGGUAGCCGGCCUGAGAGGGUGACCGGCCACACUGGGACUGAGACACGGCCCAGACUCCUACGGGAGGCAGCAGUGGGGAAUAUUGCGCAAUGGGCGAAAGCCUGACGCAGCGACGCCGCGUGAGGGAUGACGGCCUCGGUU
RNAcentral lists this ribosomal RNA (393 nucleotides) under uncultured bacterium. RNAcentral's name for it is "bacterial SSU rRNA". It matches the Rfam family "Bacterial small subunit ribosomal RNA", at positions 28 to 424 of the family's 1533-position model. The record is from RNAcentral.